This is a long non-coding RNA of Acinonyx jubatus (cheetah), 2589 nucleotides long. RefSeq lists it as uncharacterized. The record is from RefSeq and is a predicted model, not a curated record. NCBI's taxonomy places the organism in Eukaryota, Metazoa, Chordata, Mammalia, Carnivora, Felidae. The transcript is spliced from 6 exons.
UAGAAAGAUAGUUCCAAUAGUACAGACGUGGCAGCAGACAGAAGUUGAAUUUUCUUGAACUUAAAUGGAGUGUUCACUUAAUUUCUCUGAUUCGGUUGUCAGUCUGUGCAUUUAUGGGAGAAGUGGGGGAAGGGAUAUUUGCAUAGGCCUUCAAGAGUGCUGGGAGGUAAAAAGGGGGAACUUCUGGACCUUGUUCCUGACUGUGUAUGUAUCUUUCCCAUCUUAGGAAGCUUUAAAUGACACUGUGAACUGGCGGCAAAGAAGAAUCAGCAGCUGCAGGUAAAAUUUGAAAAUAGCUACAGAAGGGGCGCCUGGGUGGCUCAGUCGUUUAAGCGUCCAACUUCAGCUCAGGUCAUAAUUUCACAGUCCGGGAGUUCGAGCCCCGUGUCAGGCUCUAUGCUGACAGGUCAGAGCCUGGAGCCUGUUUCAGAUUCUGUUACAUCUCUCUCUGUCCCUCCCCUGAUCAUGCAUGUGCUCUCUCUCUCUCUGUCUCAAAAAUAAAUAAACAUUAGGGAAAAAAAGAAAAUAGCUACAGAAGAAAUAAACAAGUACAAGUGAGUUCAGCUACUAAUUACCAGGAACUCAUGAAACCGCUGUUAUUUUUUGGUUUUUAAUCUUUUUGAAAAGUUUAAAGUCAACAUAUGCAUAGAGUAGUAACAGAUAAAAAAGGUAAGUUUUAGAAAGAGUAAAAUAAUUAAGUUUCUAAACAUUUGCAGAUCUGAAGUAGUGACCAGACUAUGUGGAAAUGUUGUCCAUGCUAACAUUCCUCAGGGGUGUUGUCAAUUGUCACAAUCUGUAGGAAAGCAGUGUGUCGUACAAUGAAUCAUACCCAUCAACGUGGUAGUGCCAUUUCAUGGCCCUCGUCUUUGCAACCCUGGGAAACAUGGCAACAAAUGGAACAAACACGGGAACAGCUGCAGCAGGCAGAGCUCACCUUUAGAUACCAGGUAACCUGAGUUCUGCCUGAUAUACUGAACCCUUAGCACCUCACGCGGGUGAGUGUAGUGACCCUUGGAAUCCCUAACCACGGGCUUUUCAUUGUUGGCUUUUUCGCUUGCAGUUCAUGAGAAGAAUGCUCAGGACAACGAGGUAAGUGUUUUCUUGUUUCCUCCUCUUUCUUUGGUGCACAGUGUGGCACCAGCUUCCGACUGAAGGUGGAUGUGCUUUUUCUCCCCCAGAUCAAGACUCAGAUCUGGGACAGGGAGAUGGCAGAGCAGGGCAGGGAGAUCGCUUACUUGAAAUACAGGUGUGGUCAUUUGACUUGCGUUUUUAUGGGUGUUUCCAGGGAUGACGCCUGCACUGUUAGUCGUCUAGUAGAGGACGUGGUGUUGCAACUCUUCUAGAAGUCCAUUAUUUUUCUGUAUCCAAGACUGGACGGGAUGGAACCAAAGAGGCUGCCUGAGGGAUACACGAGGCAGAAACCAAUCACUGCAAGAACCCUCCAAGGAGAGGGCAGUCUGGAUCCUGGGGACCUCCUCCGUUAACUGGACGAUUCUGCAUGCCCUACCCUGGAGACACCCCGCCCCCAUGGGCUAUUAGGCACGUCCACCUCGUGAACCUUAGUGGCCCUGAGGCCACCCGGAAUCCCUCCACCUGCAACACUUGAAUUUCAGCUCAUUUUUCCAGAGGACACACUUACCCUCCAAAGUGUACUGCACUUAAGCUGAGAAGUACCUCCGAACUAAAAUAAAUUAGCUGAACCCAACUAACAUGCUAUUUUGUAUGCAAGAGUCCUGGUCCUUUCCCAGGAUUGCCUUGCAGGCUGUACCCCGCGGACCACCCUUCACCACCAGUCAUGGGCUAUAGGCCACAUCCCCCUCCUCCAUCUACUCUAUUUGUUAAGAGGACCUGAACUGGCUGAGUGGCUGGACAACUCUGUUGAAAUUUGAAGAGGACUGUGCACGGUGACAGACAAUCGUGUUUGUAUAUAUUUUAAGAAGGUGUCCGAUCUACCUGAAUGCUUUCCCUGCCCAUCCUGUCCCCUCCACUUUGUCCUUCCUACUGUCCCCUAAUCUACCUUUCAUUGUUUUGUCUCUGUGUCAGCGUCUGCUUCUAGGGCCAUCUACUCUCGCUCCCCAUUGAGUGCACACAGGGGGGUUCCUGUACACACAGGUAACAAAGUGCCACAAAUGGUGGUGAGGGAGGAUAGAAGCAAGAUCACACUUUGUGCAGGGGAGCCUGAGGGAGUUUUCCGGGGCGAUGGGAACUCCCUAUAUCUAGAUUGAUGGGGUGCAUAUGCUCAAUUAUUUUGGAAAUAUCCCCUGACUCCAUGGUGCCUUGGGAUCAGACAGGUAUCUGUCCUUAGGAAAUGGCUGAGAUCUAAUGGUGGAGAAGGAUGAGGGACCAGCAGUGACUGUCGAGAGGAGUGAGGGUCAGACCCACGCCCAGGGUGCCAGGUCCCCACAGACAGCACCACGUGUAGGAGGGCUCUGAGGAGCAGAGAUUUCUUGAUCAGACCCAUGAACUACAUAAUCCUCCUGUAGUUUCCUCACUGAGCGAUGGCUAGAGCAGAGGCCAGCAGCUGGAGGACACCCUGAUCAUGGCUGGAGUGGAGCAGUGGGCCUGGGGGAUUGAGUCAGGGAAAGGGAC